This 212-nucleotide ribosomal RNA is filed under the name uncultured Geobacter sp. RNAcentral's name for it is "partial 16S ribosomal RNA". It matches the Rfam family "Bacterial small subunit ribosomal RNA", at positions 1171 to 1382 of the family's 1533-position model. The record is from RNAcentral. Lineage: Bacteria; Pseudomonadati; Thermodesulfobacteriota; Desulfuromonadia; Geobacterales; Geobacteraceae.
AAGUGGGAUGACGUCAAGUCCUCAUGGCCCUUAUGACCAGGGCUACACACGUGCUACAAUGGCCGGUACAAAGAGUUGCGAUACCGUGAGGUGGAGCCAAUCUCAUAAAGCCGGUCUCAGUUCGGAUUGGAGUCUGCAACUCGACUCCAUGAAGUUGGAAUCGCUAGUAAUCGCGGAUCAGCAUGCCGCGGUCGAAUACGUUCCCGGGCCUU